CCCUUAGAUGUUCUGGGCUGCACGCGCGCUACACUGAAGCGUUCAACGAGUAUUCACCUUGCCCGGGAGGGUUGGGUAAUCUUUUGAAAACGCUUCGUGAUGGGGAUAGAUUAUUGCAAUUAUUAAUCUUCAACGAGGAAUUCCUAGUAAGCGCGAGUCAUCAGCUCGUGCUGAUUACGUCCCUGCCCUUUGUACACACCGCCCGUCGCUCCUACCGAUUGAGUGAUCGGGUGAAUAAUUCGGACUGCAGCACUGCUUGGUCUCCAGGCUUUGCAGCGGAAAGUUUAGUGAACCUUAUCACUUAGAGGAAGGAGAAGUCGUAACA
This 325-nucleotide ribosomal RNA is filed under the name uncultured eukaryote. RNAcentral describes it as "partial 18S ribosomal RNA". It matches the Rfam family "Eukaryotic small subunit ribosomal RNA", at positions 1470 to 1796 of the family's 1831-position model. The record is from RNAcentral.